UACGUAGGGUGCGAGCGUUGUCCGGAAUUAUUGGGCGUAAAGGGCUCGUAGGCGGUUUGUCGCGUCGGGAGUGAAAUCCUCUGGCUUAACUGGGUGCUUGCUUUCGAUACGGGCAGACUAGAGGUAUGCAGGGGAGAACGGAAUUCCUGGUGUAGCGGUGAAAUGCGCAGAUAUCAGGAGGAACACCGGUGGCGAAGGCGGUUCUCUGGGCAUGAUCUGACGCUGAGGAGCGAAAGUGUGGGGAGCGAACAGG
RNAcentral lists this ribosomal RNA (253 nucleotides) under uncultured bacterium. RNAcentral's name for it is "partial 16S ribosomal RNA". It matches the Rfam family "Bacterial small subunit ribosomal RNA", at positions 524 to 776 of the family's 1533-position model. The record is from RNAcentral.